CAUUACUCUGAAAAACAGAGAGAAAAGAAAACCAAAAACCAUUUCUUGGCUGGUUUGAAGAAAUUCUAAGGAGAUCCAAGUGAAAUCAAAGCCAAAGAAGUGGAUUAAGCUUAGUUCUAGCCUUUUUAUGAUAUUUUUUGGUGGUUUCCAAGUGGUUUGAGGUUUAGAAAAUCUAGAAGAGAUUGUUUUCGCCGAAAAGUUGCUCGGAUAAGCACAUCAACACCUAAGACACCACUUGUUACACGGUGAAAUAUAUUUUGGACAGAAGGUAGAGAAAGAAAUGAGUGAAUGACAUAAGGAGAACUGAAGCAUGGUCCUGACCCUGAUUUGUACAUAUGAACAUAUCGACCUUUGUGGGUUAUUUCAGUUUAUCAAUGUGAUAUUUGUAAUAAAGUGUGAAGUUAUGUUUUGAAAACAAAUUGAG
Molecule: long non-coding RNA, 424 nt
Organism: Humulus lupulus (European hop)
Lineage: Eukaryota; Viridiplantae; Streptophyta; Magnoliopsida; Rosales; Cannabaceae
Exons: 4
Source: RefSeq, a predicted model, not a curated record